UUGUGAGCGCCCGACUCGCCAGCAAAG
RNAcentral lists this unclassified non-coding RNA (27 nucleotides) under Mus musculus (house mouse). Its description in RNAcentral is "oocyte_clustered_small_RNA10786". The record is from RNAcentral. Lineage: Eukaryota; Metazoa; Chordata; Mammalia; Rodentia; Muridae.